RNAcentral lists this ribosomal RNA (1655 nucleotides) under Escherichia coli. Its description in RNAcentral is "partial 23S ribosomal RNA". It matches the Rfam family "Bacterial large subunit ribosomal RNA", at positions 1292 to 2925 of the family's 2925-position model. Lineage: Bacteria; Pseudomonadati; Pseudomonadota; Gammaproteobacteria; Enterobacterales; Enterobacteriaceae. The record is from RNAcentral.
GAAUGCUGACAUAAGUAACGAUAAAGCGGGUGAAAAGCCCGCUCGCCGGAAGACCAAGGGUUCCUGUCCAACGUUAAUCGGGGCAGGGUGAGUCGACCCCUAAGGCGAGGCCGAAAGGCGUAGUCGAUGGGAAACAGGUUAAUAUUCCUGUACUUGGUGUUACUGCGAAGGGGGGACGGAGAAGGCUAUGUUGGCCGGGCGACGGUUGUCCCGGUUUAAGCGUGUAGGCUGGUUUUCCAGGCAAAUCCGGAAAACCAAGGCUGAGGCGUGAUGACGAGGCACUACGGUGCUGAAGCGACAAAUGCCCUGCUUCCAGGAAAAGCCUCUAAGCAUCAGGUAACAUCAAAUCGUACCCCAAACCGACACAGGUGGUCAGGUAGAGAAUACCAAGGCGCUUGAGAGAACUCGGGUGAAGGAACUAGGCAAAAUGGUGCCGUAACUUCGGGAGAAGGCACGCUGAUAUGUAGGUGAAGCGACUAGCUCGUGGAGCUGAAAUCAGUCGAAGAUACCAGCUGGCUGCAACUGUUUAUUAAAAACACAGCACUGUGCAAACACGAAAGUGGACGUAUACGGUGUGACGCCUGCCCGGUGCCGGAAGGUUAAUUGAUGGGGUUAGCGGUAACGCGAAGCUCUUGAUCGAAGCCCCGGUAAACGGCGGCCGUAACUAUAACGGUCCUAAGGUAGCGAAAUUCCUUGUCGGGUAAGUUCCGACCUGCACGAAUGGCGUAAUGAUGGCCAGGCUGUCUCCACCCGAGACUCAGUGAAAUUGAACUCGCUGUGAAGAUGCAGUGUACCCGCGGCAAGACGGAAAGACCCCGUGAACCUUUACUAUAGCUUGACACUGAACAUUGAGCCUUGAUGUGUAGGAUAGGUGGGAGGCUUUGAAGUGUGGACGCCAGUCUGCAUGGAGCCGACCUUGAAAUACCACCCUUUAAUGUUUGAUGUUCUAACGUUGGCCCGUAAUCCGGGUUGCGGACAGUGUCUGGUGGGUAGUUUGACUGGGGCGGUCUCCUCCUAAAGAGUAACGGAGGAGCACGAAGGUUGGCUAAUCCUGGUCGGACAUCAGGAGGUUAGUGCAAUGGCAUAAGCCAGCUUGACUGCGAGCGUGACGGCGCGAGCAGGUGCGAAAGCAGGUCAUAGUGAUCCGGUGGUUCUGAAUGGAAGGGCCAUCGCUCAACGGAUAAAAGGUACUCCGGGGAUAACAGGCUGAUACCGCCCAAGAGUUCAUAUCGACGGCGGUGUUUGGCACCUCGAUGUCGGCUCAUCACAUCCUGGGGCUGAAGUAGGUCCCAAGGGUAUGGCUGUUCGCCAUUUAAAGUGGUACGCGAGCUGGGUUUAGAACGUCGUGAGACAGUUCGGUCCCUAUCUGCCGUGGGCGCUGGAGAACUGAGGGGGGCUGCUCCUAGUACGAGAGGACCGGAGUGGACGCAUCACUGGUGUUCGGGUUGUCAUGCCAAUGGCACUGCCCGGUAGCUAAAUGCGGAAGAGAUAAGUGCUGAAAGCAUCUAAGCACGAAACUUGCCCCGAGAUGAGUUCUCCCUGAGACUUAGAGUCUCCUGAAGGAACGUUGAAGACGACGACGUUGAUAGGCCGGGUGUGUAAGCGCAGCGAUGCGUUGAGCUAACCGGUACUAAUGAACCGUGAGGCUUAACCUU